Molecule: ribosomal RNA, 773 nt
Filed under: uncultured bacterium
Lineage: Bacteria
Description: bacterial SSU rRNA
Rfam family: Bacterial small subunit ribosomal RNA
Source: RNAcentral
AGAGUUUGAUCAUGGCUCAGGACGAACGCUGGCGGCGUGCUUAACACAUGCAAGUCGAACGGAAAGGCCCUUCGGGGUACUCGAGUGGCGAACGGGUGAGUAACACGUGGGUGAUCUGCCCUGCACUUUGGGAUAAGCCUGGGAAACUGGGUCUAAUACCGAAUAGGACCGCGCGCUUCAUGGUGUGUGGUGGAAAGCUUUUGCGGUGUGGGAUGGGCCCGCGGCCUAUCAGCUUGUUGGUGGGGUAAUGGCCUACCAAGGCGACGACGGGUAGCCGGCCUGAGAGGGUGACCGGCCACACUGGGACUGAGAUACGGCCCAGACUCCUACGGGAGGCAGCAGUGGGGAAUAUUGCACAAUGGGCGCAAGCCUGAUGCAGCGACGCCGCGUGAGGGAUGACGGCCUUCGGGUUGUAAACCUCUUUCAGUAGGGACGAAGCGAAAGUGACGGUACCUACAGAAGAAGGACCGGCCAACUACGUGCCAGCAGCCGCGGUAAUACGUAGGGUCCGAGCGUUGUCCGGAAUUACUGGGCGUAAAGAGCUCGUAGGUGGUUUGUCGCGUUGUUCGUGAAAACUCACAGCUUAACUGUGGGCGUGCGGGCGAUACGGGCAGACUAGAGUACUGCAGGGGAGACUGGAAUUCCUGGUGUAGCGGUGGAAUGCGCAGAUAUCAGGAGGAACACCGGUGGCGAAGGCGGGUCUCUGGGCAGUAACUGACGCUGAGGAGCGAAAGCGUGGGGAGCGAACAGGAUUAGAUACCCUGGUAGUCCAA